This 497-nucleotide ribosomal RNA is filed under the name uncultured bacterium. RNAcentral describes it as "partial 16S ribosomal RNA". It matches the Rfam family "Bacterial small subunit ribosomal RNA", at positions 28 to 507 of the family's 1533-position model. The record is from RNAcentral.
GAUGAACGCUGGCGGCGUGCCUAAUACAUGCAGGUCGAGCGAACGGACGAGAAGCUUGCUUUUCUGAUGUUAGCGGCGGACGGGUGAGUAACACGUGGAUAACCUACCUAUAAGACUGGGAUAACUUCGGGAAACCGGAGCUAAUACCGGAUAAUAUUUUGAACCGCAUGGUUCAAAAGUGAAAGACGGUCUUGCUGUCACUUAUAGAUGGAUCCGCGCUGCAUUAGCUAGUUGGUAAGGUAACGGCUUACCAAGGCAACGAUGCAUAGCCGACCUGAGAGGGUGAUCGGCCACACUGGAACUGAGACACGGCCCAGACUCCUACGGGAGGCAGCAGUAGGGAAUCUUCCGCAAUGGGCGAAAGCCUGACGGAGCAACGCCGCGUGAGUGAUGAAGGUCUUCGGAUCGUAAAACUCUGUUAUUAGGGAAGAACAUAUGUGUAAGUAACUGUGCACAUCUUGACGGUACCUAAUCAGAAAGCCACGGCUAACUACGUG